GAUGAAGGACGCAGCGAAAUGCGAUACGUAAUGUGAAUUGCAAAUUCAGUGAAUCAUCGAGUCUUUGAACGCACAUUGCGCCCCCUGGUAUUCCGGGGGGCAUGCCUGUCCGAGCGUCAUUGCUGCCCUCAAGCACGGCUUGUGUGUUGGGCCCCGUCCUCCGAUCCCGGGGGACGGGCCCGAAAGGCAGCGGCGGCACCGCGUCCGGUCCUCGAGCGUAUGGGGCUUUGUCACCCGCUCUGUAGGCCCGGCCGGCGCUUGCCGAUCAACCCAAAUUUUUAUCCAGGUUGACCUCGGAUCAGGUAGGGAUACCCGCUGAACUUAAGCAUAUCAAUAAGCGGAGGA
Molecule: unclassified non-coding RNA, 345 nt
Filed under: soil metagenome
Description: partial contains 5.8S ribosomal RNA, internal transcribed spacer 2, and large subunit ribosomal RNA
Rfam family: 5.8S ribosomal RNA (bases 1-119)
Source: RNAcentral